GACGAACGCUGGCGGCGUGCCUAACACAUGCAAGUCGAGCGGGGUUGAAGCGAGGGGUAACUCGAGUUUCUACCUAGCGGCGGACGGGUGAGUAACGCGUGGGCAACCUGCCUCAAGGACUGGGAUAACAGCUCGAAAGGGCUGCUAAUACCGGAUAAGCCUAUGGCCUCGCAUGGGGCCAUGAGCAAAGGGGAAACCCGCCUUGAGAUGGGCCCGCGUCCCAUCAGCUAGUUGGUGAGGUAACAGCUCACCAAGGCGACGACGGGUAGCCGGCCUGAGAGGGUGACCGGCCACACUGGGACUGAGACACGGCCCAGACUCCUACGGGGGGCAGCAGUGGGGGAUCUUGCACAAUGGGCGAAAGCCUGAUGCAGCGACGCCGCGUGAGCGAAGAAGGCCCUUGGGUUGUAAAGCUCUGUCUGGAGGGACGAAGGAAGUGACGGUACCUCCGGAGGAAGCCACGGGCUAACUACGUAGCCAGCAGCCGCGGUAAGAUCA
Molecule: ribosomal RNA, 498 nt
Filed under: uncultured bacterium
Lineage: Bacteria
Description: bacterial SSU rRNA
Rfam family: Bacterial small subunit ribosomal RNA
Source: RNAcentral